This 226-nucleotide non-coding RNA is filed under the name Leuconostoc mesenteroides. RNAcentral's name for it is "T-box sequence". It matches the Rfam family "T-box leader". Rfam says of the family: Uncharged tRNA acts as the effector for transcription antitermination of genes in the T-box leader family. T-boxes are found upstream of many aminoacyl-tRNA synthetase genes and some amino acid biosynthetic genes usually in Gram-positive bacteria. Lineage: Bacteria; Bacillati; Bacillota; Bacilli; Lactobacillales; Lactobacillaceae. The record is from RNAcentral.
AGUAAAACGUUGAGUAGAAGAGUAGUUCAUUUUAAAUUUAGAAGAGAAUUUGCGGUUGCUGUGAGCAAAUAGUUAAAUUGAACGAAACACAUCUAUGAGUAUAAAGCUGAACAAAGUAAGCUUUGUCGGAAGUGUCCGUUAUCACAUAACAGUCUUUGACUUAUUGAGAUGCUACUAGUGAUAGUAGCAUAACAAAGAGGUGGAACCGCGAUGAAACGCCCUCUAA